Molecule: long non-coding RNA, 548 nt
Filed under: Bos taurus (domestic cattle)
Lineage: Eukaryota; Metazoa; Chordata; Mammalia; Artiodactyla; Bovidae
Description: long non-coding RNA NONBTAT026787
Source: RNAcentral
UGGUUACAUAAAGACCAUCUUAAUCAGAGGAAUUUUUGACUAGGAAUUUUUUCUUUUAUCCAGAGCUUAUUUGGAAUACUUCUUGUUUGAAAUCUGACUAUUCUAGAUCAGUGCUAGCCUAAAUGUUUUAUUUUGGUGACCUCAGUUAAAUGUCUGGAAAUCUGUACUGUCUGAUAGCGCUUGGGUGAAAUAAAGUUCUUGGCAUUAUUUCUUAGAGGACAGGUGCUGGGUACACAACAGUUCCAUAUCAUUGGUCAGCUUUGGUCCUCCCUUUUCUCAAGCCUCCUUGAGAAACUGGGUUUAACUGGGUUGGAAAAAGCUGGGUGUCCUGCCUAACUGGGUUGGUAAAGACUGGUGUCCUGUCUCCUGCAUUGCCUUCAUGGCACAUAUGGACACAUUUGCUGCUCUAGAAAUUUGAGGGAUAAGACAUCCAGGGAUAGACUACUGGUGUAAUGUCCACUUUGAAAAAUUAAGAAAGACUAGGGUCAAAGGGGGAAAGCAAACAAAACCUGUAAAUAUAUUUUUAAGUAGAUUAUACCAUUUCCCAU